This 117-nucleotide ribosomal RNA is filed under the name Chloroflexota bacterium. Lineage: Bacteria; Bacillati; Chloroflexota. The record is from RNAcentral.
GUUGGUGACAGGAGCGACAGGGGUACACCCGGACCCAUCUCGAACCCGGCAGUUAAGCCUGUCAGCGCUGAUGGUAGUGUGAGCUACGGCUCAUGUGAGAGUAGGUCGUUGCCAACA